GCUGUGAAACCAUCCUUGGCGAGAUUCGUGCGAAAAUUCGUGCAGUAUUAUCAACGGAAUGCAUGUGUCGUGCGACACGGUGAUUGAACUUUUUCACAGGCCUGCCUACAGAUAGAGCUCUUCGCAACUUCUCCCUCCCACCUUGCGAUUUAAAGUAUCGCGCGUGUGUUGCGUGUCAGCCAUUAUUAUGAAAUAAAAUAGGGGGAGUGUUUUGGCGCCUAGAGCUAAUGUUGACAGGCCUGAGUCGAGAGAGAGUUCGGUAAAAUAUUGUUUCUUUCGCGUCAGAUCGUUCAAAGCUGUUGAAAGCAGUAUUGUCAAAUCGUUUUGCGUGGCGGAGCAAUCGAGUACAAUUAGAGUUAAGUAAAUUCGCUGGAGAUGUUAGUGAAACAAAAGGCGUGCGUGGAUGAAAUUCGCGUUCAACGGAGAAGCGAUUGACGUGACCGUUAGCAAACUGGGUCCGGCGACGGUGAUAGACGUUAUUUCAUACUACCUCUCUUUUCGCAGUCGACACAGAGUUGCGGCUCGAAGUUUCUAGUAUCCACUAUGCAUGUACGUACAGACUAGGAAGAUCAAUGUUGCCAUCAACGUGUCAAUCAAUAUUAAUUUUUUGGAAAAACGUCAAUGUAUCGAAAAUGGUAACAGUUUCACGAUGAAAUGGAUAUUGUGAAACUUCUCCGUGGCGAGAAUCACCGUCGUCGGGCUCCAGGAUGCCGUCAUGCGGAAACGUGUCUUCGGGAUUUUCACGAAGCCACUGGACAUUACCUAACGUUCCCUUGUUCGCUGAUCUGCAUCCGAACCACCAGUACGCCGUCGAUCUAGGGAAU
Frieseomelitta varia is the source of this 824-nucleotide long non-coding RNA. RefSeq lists it as uncharacterized. Lineage: Eukaryota; Metazoa; Arthropoda; Insecta; Hymenoptera; Apidae. The transcript has 4 exons. The record is from RefSeq and is a predicted model, not a curated record.